This 255-nucleotide ribosomal RNA is filed under the name Lentibacillus persicus. RNAcentral's name for it is "23S rRNA. Bacterial LSU". It matches the Rfam family "Bacterial large subunit ribosomal RNA", at positions 2672 to 2925 of the family's 2925-position model. Lineage: Bacteria; Bacillati; Bacillota; Bacilli; Caryophanales; Bacillaceae. The record is from RNAcentral.
CUGUCCUUAGUACGAGAGGACCGGGAUGGACACACCGCUGGUGUACCAGUUGUUCCGCCAGGAGCACAGCUGGGUAGCUACGUGUGGCAAGGAUAAGUGCUGAAAGCAUCUAAGCAUGAAGCCCCCCUCAAGAUGAAACUUCCCAUCACGUUAAGUGAGUAAGAUCCCUCAGAGACGAUGAGGUUGAUAGGUCCGAGGUGGAAGCGUGGCGACACGUGGAGCUGACGGAUACUAAUCGAUCGAGGACUUAACUAA